GCGCUCACUUUGGCAGCAUAUAUAUCAAAAUCGGAGUGAUACAGAGAAGAUUUAGCAUGGCCCCUACACAAGGAUGACAUGCAAAUUCAUGAAGCAUUCCAUAUUUUU
Small nuclear RNA from Ursus americanus (American black bear), 108 nucleotides. NCBI's taxonomy places the organism in Eukaryota, Metazoa, Chordata, Mammalia, Carnivora, Ursidae. The record is from Ensembl.